UGUGUAGGCGGCGCCGUAAGUCGGGUGUGAAAUCUCGGAGCUUAACUCCGAAACUGCAUUCGAUACUGCGGUGCUUGAGGACUGGAGAGGAGACUGGAAUUUACGGUGUAGCAGUGAAAUGCGUAGAUAUCGUAAGGAAGACCAGUGGCGAAGGCGGGUCUCUGGACAGUUCCUGACACUGAGGCACGAAGGCCAGGGAGGCAAACG
RNAcentral lists this ribosomal RNA (207 nucleotides) under uncultured bacterium. Its description in RNAcentral is "partial 16S ribosomal RNA". It matches the Rfam family "Bacterial small subunit ribosomal RNA", at positions 568 to 774 of the family's 1533-position model. The record is from RNAcentral.